Molecule: ribosomal RNA, 441 nt
Filed under: uncultured bacterium
Lineage: Bacteria
Description: partial 16S ribosomal RNA
Rfam family: Bacterial small subunit ribosomal RNA
Source: RNAcentral
CCUACGGGUGGCAGCAGUGGGGAAUAUUGCGCAAUGGGGGAAACCCUGACGCAGCAACGCCGCGUGAGUGAAGACGUAUCUCGGUGUGUAAAGCUCUAUCAGCGGGGAAGAAGGAAGACGGUACCCGACUAAGAAGCCCCGGCUAACUACGUGCCAGCAGCCGCGGUAAUACGUAGGGGGCAAGCGUUAUCCGGAUUUACUGGGUGUAAAGGGAGCGUAGACGGCGUCGCAAGUCUGAAGUGAAAGCCCGUGGCUCAACCGCGGAACCGCUUUGGAAACUGCGUGGGUGGAGUGCCGGAGAGGUAAGCGGAAUUUCUGGUGUAGCGGUGAAAUGCGGAGAUAACAGGAGGAACACCGGUGGCGAAGGGGGGUUAAUGGACAGUGACUGACGUUGAGGGUCGGAAGCGUGGGGGGCGAACAGGAAUAGAUACCCGAGUAGUC